CGCAGAGACAGUGCUGCAUGGCUGUCGUCAGCUCGUGUUGUGAAAUGUUGGGUUAAGUCCCGUAACGAGCGCAACCCUUGUCCUAUUUGCCAGCGAGUAAUGUCGGGAACUCUAAGGAGACUGCCGGUGACAAACCGGAGGAAAGGUGGGGACGACGUCAAGUCAUCAUGGCCCUUACGGGUAGGGCUACACACGUGCUACAAUGGCCGGUACAAAGGGCUGCGAGCUCGCGAGAGUCAGCGAAUCCCUUAAAGCCGGUCUCAGUCCGGAUCGGAGUCUGCAACUCGACUCCGUGAAGUCGGAAUCGCUAGUAAUCGUGAAUCAGAAUGUCACGGUGAAUACGUUCCCGGGCCUU
Molecule: ribosomal RNA, 355 nt
Filed under: uncultured Halomonas sp.
Lineage: Bacteria; Pseudomonadati; Pseudomonadota; Gammaproteobacteria; Oceanospirillales; Halomonadaceae
Description: bacterial SSU rRNA
Rfam family: Bacterial small subunit ribosomal RNA
Source: RNAcentral